AGCCCACUUGCCAAAAAGACCUAACUUAAUACUCUAUACUUCAUCAUCACAUUCCUUAUUUUCCCUAGCUCCUGUCACUGCAACUCCCACUUUCUUCUUCUUCUUCUUCUUUGAAUCGUCAAUGUUAUUGUUGAUGGUGUGUUGUUUCAUAGAAGAAUAGUCAAAUGACCAAGGUAAGCUGCUUACCUCUUUCGAAUAUUUGAUUUUGACACUUAUUUUUCUUCUAAAAUCUCAAUCUUCGGCUGGUUGGGAUGUCUCUAUGUAGUGAUGUUGAAGGAGGAUGCCAUUCAGAGUUUCCAAUUCUUCCACAGGCGAGGCUCUAGCACAUGCAUUCAUUUUUUGUAAACCCUCUUCCCUUACUAACUUCCAUUGAAUUUUCGUCAACAGAUGACUAAUGGACAUGUUGUUUCUUUGCUAAUUUGGGCUUGUAGAUAACCUUCUAUGCUUAAGAAAAGAUAUGGCGUGCCUUCCUUAUGUUUUUGGUGAUUUCUUUUAUGUCCUAAUAUAGAUUAGCCAAUCUGAUUUAGCAACAUUAUAUCAUCUGUCUCUUUUGUCAUAUGAUAAAUUUCUAGUAUCUUCUAUAAAUAUUUCCAAUGUAACUAUAGCAAAUUAUAAUUUUGUUUAGUACAAAAACUAAUUCACUUCAUUUACAAUUAAUUGGUACCCAUCUAUUUAAUGAAAACUCACCCUAUUCUAUACUCUCCAAAUUCGAACAAAAAACAAAUAAUUAUGCAUAUCCCACUUAGUAUCCCCUUUCUCAUUUAUUUUUAUAUAUAUACACAUUACAAAUUGUAACAUCAUCAUCAAAAUUGAUAAUUUUCUACAAGUAUUAAGGCAUGACUGAACCAAACUUUAAAAGAGUUCAUAAUAUAGUAGAAUAAGAAAUUUUGAGAAACUAAGAUCUGACCAAUUUGAUAAUGAAAAUCCUCCAACUUCUCCUAUAUUUUAUCCUAAGAAAAAUUUGAGAUGAAAGUGGUGAUUGUAAUAAGCAAUCACUAAUUUUUUGUUUUGCAUAUUGCUCUUUUCUUUUUACAAUGUAAUGAUGAGAGUUAACUUUUCUAUGUUUGAAAAUAUUAUAAAUUUUAAAAACUGAUUCAUUACAUUUUUAAAUGACAUGUUCCUAUGAUCAUAAAAAUGUCGUGGUAUGUAUACUUAAGAUUACAAGAUAUAAGAGUACUUUUGAUACAUUCUAAAAGGUUGUUUUCUCUUUCUUUAAUUCCGUAUCUAUUAAACUUCGUCAUAUAAAAUGAAUAGAAGGUACACAAUUUUACUUUCAUAAAAAAGACCUAUUGUACACCUCAAGUAUUAAAAAUGAUCUUAAUAUACCCUUGUUUUAGGUGUUAAAGUAUUCUUCUCUUUUAUAUACAGACUCUAUUUUACCCUUUCACUUAACAGAAAACUUUUUAAAAAAACUAUUAGUAUUUUCAAUCAAUAUUUGGCAGUUUUUUAUUGGUUGAAAUUUUAAUUAACUAAAACCUUAAUAAUCUCCAAUCUCAAUCCGAACCCCACUUACUAUCCAAGAUGCUUUUUGGGGACUUACCUUAGUAGAAAGUUGAUAAAUCUUUGGUUAAAAAGUAUGGUAGAGUUUUUGCUUGAGAAAGAACUAUUCGUUUUAUGUGAUUAAAACCAUUUGACUUGACCGAAAGUUUAUUUAACAUUCCUAAAUUUAGAAUAUCUACAUAUUACAUCAAACCCUAUGAUUAUGGCAUGGAAUCUGAACCAUAUAAGAAAGGUUUCUAAUGAUAUCCAGAUGAUAGAUAGGGUUGCUUCUUAUUUCGUCCCACUAAUCUAACACUGUAAAAAUUAUAGCCAGACAUAUAGUAGAGAAGGAACCUUUAUCUUAAUGAACACCUACAUUAAAGUAAGCUUAUUAUCAAAUUUAUUAUAAGUUCUUUUGUACCCUUGAUCAACAGUUAGUAGUUGAUUAUUUCAUCUAGUGAGACUGAAAUCAUACGUGAUAUAGUUCACCUUUGAUCAAAUUUUAUUGUUACCAGGUAAAAUUGAUUGACCACCAACUAUAGAGAAAGGCUAUAAAGAAAUUUAUAAUCAUUUUGAUGAUAAACGUAAUUACUUUACUAUGGCUAUUCAGUCAGCUAAUGAUUUCCUUUUCUACUAUAUAUCUAACUAUAAUUCUUAAGUUGUUGGAUUAGUGGGAGGCAAUGGAAAGCAGCCGUAUUUAUCAUCUAGAUAUCAUUAGGAUACUAUCUCAUACAGUUCUGAUUGAUUGCCUUAUUCAUGGAGUUUGAUGUACUAUGUAGAAAUCUAAAAUUUAGGAAUGUUAAAUCAAUUUUUGGAUAAAAUAGUUUAGUAAAAUCAAAUAGUUUUAAUCCCACAAAAUAAGCAGUUCUUUCACAAACAAAUACUCUACCACACUUUUUAAGAAAAGUGAUCAAUUUUCUACAAAGGUAAAUUCCAAAACAAGCAUCUUGGACGGUAAGUGAAAUUCGAAUUGGGUUUGGGGGUUAUUAAGUUUUUAAUUAAUUAAAUUACAAACAAUAAGAAACUAACACGUGUUGAAUGAAAAUACUAUUUCUUUUAGUCUCUGUUAAGUAAAAGGAUAAAAGUAGAGUCUGUAGGUGGAUGGUAAGGAUAUUUUAGAACUCAGAGAUGGAAGAAUGGUAUGUUAGGAUUAUUUUCAAUACUUGAAGGAUAUAUUAGAACCCUUUUUUAUUCUAUUUCUCCGUCAUUUAUGUACUAUUUUCAAAAUGGUGAUUUUCUACUGAUGCAGAAAUAGGAAGUUCCCUGAAUAUGCUAUUGAGGAUUCAUCAAACGUACUUAGCAAUGGAAACUGAAGUUUUUCUAUAUAAUAGAA
This 2812-nucleotide long non-coding RNA is filed under the name Capsicum annuum. Its description in RNAcentral is "long non-coding RNA (CANN_LNC000972)". The record is from RNAcentral. Lineage: Eukaryota; Viridiplantae; Streptophyta; Magnoliopsida; Solanales; Solanaceae.